UAAACGAUGAGUGCUAAGUGUUAGGGGGUUUCCGCCCCUUAGUGCUGCAGCUAACGCAUUAAGCACUCCGCCUGGGGAGUACGGUCGCAAGACUGAAACUCAAAGGAAUUGACGGGGGCCCGCACAAGCGGUGGAGCAUGUGGUUUAAUUCGAAGCAACGCGAAGAACCUUACCAGGUCUUGACAUCCUCUGACAACCCUAGAGAUAGGGCUUUCCCUUCGGGGACAGAGUGACAGGUGGUGCAUGGUUGUCGUCAGCUCGUGUCGUGAGAUGUUGGGUUAAGUCCCGCAACGAGCGCAACCCUUGAUCUUAGUUGCCAGCA
This 322-nucleotide ribosomal RNA is filed under the name bacterium Pu.S2B. RNAcentral's name for it is "bacterial SSU rRNA". It matches the Rfam family "Bacterial small subunit ribosomal RNA", at positions 803 to 1123 of the family's 1533-position model. The record is from RNAcentral.